UGUUGAAAAGCCAGUGGGCCGAAGCUACCGUGCGUUGGAUUAUGACUGAACGCCUCUAAGUCAGAAUCCGGGCUAGACCGACGCAUGCGCUCGUCGCCCGUUUGCCGACCCGCAGUAGGGGCCAUUUGGCCCCCAAGGGCACGUGUCGUUGGCUAAGCCGUCGUGGCGGAAGGGUCACGGUGGCCGCCUUGAAUUACAAUUCCGAUCGAGCGGCGAGCUGAAUCCUUUGCAGACGACUUAAAUACGCGACGGGGUAUUGUAAGGGUAGAGUGGCCUUGCUGCCACGAUCCUCUGAGAUUCAGCCCUUUGUCGCUCCGAUUCGU
This 323-nucleotide non-coding RNA is filed under the name Ipomoea nil (Japanese morning glory). RNAcentral describes it as "Eukaryotic large subunit ribosomal RNA". It matches the Rfam family "Eukaryotic large subunit ribosomal RNA", at positions 3075 to 3401 of the family's 3401-position model. The record is from Rfam by way of RNAcentral. Lineage: Eukaryota; Viridiplantae; Streptophyta; Magnoliopsida; Solanales; Convolvulaceae.